This 100-nucleotide transfer RNA is filed under the name Thermoanaerobaculum aquaticum. RNAcentral's name for it is "tRNA-Sec". It matches the Rfam family "Selenocysteine transfer RNA". Lineage: Bacteria; Pseudomonadati; Acidobacteriota; Thermoanaerobaculia; Thermoanaerobaculales; Thermoanaerobaculaceae. The record is from RNAcentral. RNAcentral also lists the same sequence under 6 other names.
GAGAGCGCAUGGGGACUGGUGUCCUCCGCAGCCUUCAAAGCUGUCUGCGGGGUGGGUUGCCCCCGUCCCGGGUGGGUUCGAUUCCCACGCGCUCUCGCCA